RNAcentral lists this ribosomal RNA (1032 nucleotides) under Rhodosporidiobolus colostri. RNAcentral's name for it is "partial large subunit ribosomal RNA". It matches the Rfam family "Eukaryotic large subunit ribosomal RNA", at positions 72 to 1107 of the family's 3401-position model. The record is from RNAcentral. Lineage: Eukaryota; Fungi; Basidiomycota; Microbotryomycetes; Sporidiobolales; Sporidiobolaceae.
GGAUUCCCCUAGUAGCGGCGAGCGAAGCGGGAAGAGCUCAAAUUUGUAAUCUGGCGCUUUCAGCGUCCGAGUUGUAAUCUCUAGAAAUGUUUUCCGCGUUGCACCGCACACAAGUCUGUUGGAAUACAGCGGCACAGUGGUGAGACCCCCGUUCAUGGUGCGGAUGCGCAAUGCUUUGUGAUACAUUUUCGAAGAGUCGAGUUGUUUGGGAAUGCAGCUCAAAUUGGGUGGUAAAUUCCAUCUAAAGCUAAAUAUUGGCGAGAGACCGAUAGCGAACAAGUACCGUGAGGGAAAGAUGAAAAGCACUUUGGAAAGAGAGUUAACAGUACGUGAAAUUGUUGGAAGGGAAACGCUUGAAGUCAGACUUGCUGUUCGGAGUUCAGCCGCAAGGUGUACUCUCCGAGUUGCAGGCCAGCAUCAGUUUUUCGGGGUGGAAAAUCACGGUUUGAAGGUAGCAGUUUCGGCUGUGUUAUAGCUUUCCGUUGGAUACAUCCUGGGGGACUGAGGAACGCAGUGUGCUUUUAGCAGGGGUUUCGACCUCUUCACACUUAGGAUGCUGGUGGAAUGGCUUUAAACGACCCGUCUUGAAACACGGACCAAGGAGUCUAACAUGCUUGCGAGUAUUUGGGUGUCAAACCCGGAUGCGUAAUGAAAGUGAAUGGAGGUGGGAAGCGCAAGCUGCACCAUCGACCGAUCUGGAUUUUUUAAGAUGGAUUUGAGUAAGAGCACGUAUGUUGGGACCCGAAAGAUGGUGAACUAUGCCUGAAUAGGGCGAAGCCAGAGGAAACUCUGGUGGAGGCUCGUAGCGGUUCUGACGUGCAAAUCGAUCGUCAAAUUUGGGUAUAGGGGCGAAAGACUAAUCGAACCAUCUAGUAGCUGGUUCCUGCCGAAGUUUCCCUCAGGAUAGCAGAAACUCACAUCAGUUCUAUGAGGUAAAGCGAAUGAUUAGAGGCCUUGGGGUUGAAACAACCUUAACCUAUUCUCAAACUUUAAAUAUGUAGGAAGUCCUUGCUACUUAAUUGAGCGAGGACA